RNAcentral lists this ribosomal RNA (429 nucleotides) under Gemmatimonadota bacterium. RNAcentral describes it as "Gemmatimonadetes bacterium partial 16S ribosomal RNA". It matches the Rfam family "Bacterial small subunit ribosomal RNA", at positions 355 to 776 of the family's 1533-position model. Lineage: Bacteria; Pseudomonadati; Gemmatimonadota. The record is from RNAcentral.
UAGGGAAUCUUCGGCAAUGGACGAAAGUCUGACCGAGCAACGCCGCGUGAGUGAAGAAGGUUUUCGGAUCGUAAAACUCUGUUGUUAGAGAAGAACAAGGACGUUAGUAACUGAACGUCCCCUGACGGUAUCUAACCAGAAAGCCACGGCUAACUACGUGCCAGCAGCCGCGGUAAUACGUAGGUGGCAAGCGUUGUCCGGAUUUAUUGGGCGUAAAGCGAGCGCAGGCGGUUUCUUAAGUCUGAUGUGAAAGCCCCCGGCUCAACCGGGGAGGGUCAUUGGAAACUGGGUGACUUGAGUGCAGAGGAAGAGGGUGGAAUUCCAUGUGUAGCAGUGAAAUGCGUAGGUAUAUGGAGGAACACCAGUGGCGAAGGCGGCUCUCUGGUCUGUAACUGACGCUGAGGCUCGAAAGCGUGGGGAGCAAACAGG